CCUACGGGAAGCAGCAGUGAGGAAUAUUGCGCAAUGGGGGCAACCCUGACGCAGCAACGCCGCGUGAGUGAGGAAGGUUUUCGGAUCGUAAAGCUCUGUCGGGUGGGAAGAAAUGUAUAGGGGUUAAUAGCCUUUAUACUUGACGGUACCGCCAAAGGAAGCACCGGCUAACUCCGUGCCAGCAGCCGCGGUAAUACGGGGGGGGCAAGCGUGGUUCGGAAUCAUGGGGCGUAAAGAGCGUGUAGGCGGCUAGGCAAGUCAGAUGUGAAAUCCCAGGGCUUAACCCAGGACGUGCAUUUGAAACUGCCUAGCUUGAGUAAGGAAGAGGGAAGUGGAAUUCCUGGUGUAGAGGUGAAAUUCGUAGAUAUCAGGAGGAACACCGGUGGCGAAGGCGACUUCCUGGUCCUAUACUGACGCUGAGACGCGAGAGCGUGGGGAGCAAACA
This 445-nucleotide ribosomal RNA is filed under the name uncultured prokaryote. RNAcentral describes it as "bacterial SSU rRNA". It matches the Rfam family "Bacterial small subunit ribosomal RNA", at positions 338 to 774 of the family's 1533-position model. The record is from RNAcentral.